GCAUGGGAAAAAGUCAUAAAAGCAAAUGUGUGAAUAAACCUGGCAGUUGACCUCCAAGCUAUGUGUCGUCUAGUUCUUGGAGGGAAGGGAUUGUAACUACGCUACCUGUUUUGUACCUGUCUUGGAUUGCUGUUCCUGUCUACCAGUGGAGCUACCUUGGAUAAUACCUCUACUCCGCUACAAUUGGUGGCAAGCGACGGGAUCGUACUACACAGCAAAAAGGAGUCAGCAGGAAUUAAAAAGGACUGAAUGGAAACGGAUUAUACCCUCUUAAAACGGGACACGCUAAGAGAGCUACUAGAAGCGAGAGGGAGGAUAGCAAGCAACAAAACAAAGGCUAUCCUAAUCGCAGAACUCAUGGAAGGAGACAGAGUCGCAGCUGCUGCAGCACCUCCAAGGGAGGAGGAAUCUGAGUUUGCCAGGGAAUAUAGGUGCAGGAUGGCUCUAUUCCCACCAGACAUAGCAGCGCAGAAGGCAGACCAGAUUUACAAUGAUGUACAGGCAUACAUCAUGCUGCGAACGACACCGAGGAACCAACAAGAGGGGGAAGGAAUCGCAACGGCUGUCCCCACCCCGCCAGCAAAAGCUAAAAUACCGUAUCAGGCAUUUAAAGCAUUUAAUGAUACCGAGGGGGACAUUGAUGGCUAUUUACAGGACUUUGAACGGUUGUGCCAGCUACAUGCCAUUAGCACCGAAGACCAAGUGCCCCUGCUAGCGGGUAACCUGUCAGGCCGCGCCGCAGAUGCCUACCGAGCCAUGCCGGCAGAGGACAUCCGGGACUAUCAGAAGGUAAAACAAACCUUGCUCGCACGAUAUGCCAUUACACCUGAGGCAUACCGAAUACAGUUCCGGAAACUACUCAAACCGGGAAAAGACUCGCAUGCAGAAUUCGCACACCGACUACAACGGGCAGCCACCGGGUGGAUAGAGGCAGCAAAAGCCAUCACGUCCCAAGAGAUCACGCAGUUGAUGGUGCUGGAACAAUUCUACCAAUGUUUGUCAGAAGAUCUACAGAUCUGGGUAAGAGAUCGUAAACCCCGCACGCUGCAAGAGGCCGCUAAGUUAGCAGAUGAGCAUCAGGACACCCGGCGGGAACAGCACUCAUCUACUAGAGUGCAAUCCACGCCAAACGUUCCCCGACUUACCCCAGUAGAUUCACCCCGACCAGGGGGGACCUACCAGUCACAACCCCCCCGGUACAACAACAGGGCAUCUAUCCGGUGCCAUACCUGUAACCAGCUUGGGCAUAUGCAACGAGACUGUCCCCGAAACCGGGCCAGGCCGGCCUGGACCCCUCCACGACCACCAACCACCCCUGGAGCCGCAGUCCACUGCUAUCAGGCCAGAGCAUUGGCUCAACCUUUCACCCCUACCCAAAUAGAGGAACCCUUGGGCACCCUCCAUGAGGUAAACCCGGUACAGGCGGCAUCCGACAAGUGGUCCACGUGGAGGGAAAGCGGAUGGAGGGAUUACGAGAUUCUGGGGCCACCAUCACUCUGAUACGGAAUCAUUUAGUGGCCCCGAACCAUCUCACUGGAGACUGUAUUGCGGUUAGGGUGGCAGGGGGAGCCAUUUACAAAGUACCCACUGCGAAACUACAUUUGGACUGGGGAGCGGGGGCAGGGCAAAUUGAAGUGGGGAUGAUGCAGGACCUACCUGCGGAUGUGAUUUUGGGGAACGACUUGGGGGAGCUAACCUCCGCUUUUGUUACCCGACCUCCUCCACAGGAGGCAUACCCGGUCGUCACCCGUCAACAGGCUCGCACCACGGCACCACACAUCGACUCUGAGGCUCCGGUAAGCCCGAACCCCCCUGAUCACACUGUGUUACCCUGGGCCGGUAUCAGGCGUGGGUAAUCCGCUGUCAGUUCCAGCAGCCGAGGGAACCAAGGCCGAGACCGCCAUAGUGGUGUGAUCAGUACCAACGAGCCGCCGUGUUGCGUCAGUUUCGACAGCGUGCGAGUGUGGCAGAAGCAGCCACAAGAGACUGUACCUGCAUUAUUAUUGCGUUGUAUUUGUCCUAAUAAUCGCUGAAUACCUGGUAUGCGAACCGCUGGAAAGUGCCGAAUGCACGACCACCCUGCUGUGGUCGUGUGCUUCCCCUGUAUAGAGGGAAACAAUGUUGCCAGAGAGGUAAUUGGGUUCGUGGGUGGCCGCCGUUCGCACAAAACCCACGUGGCGGCGGCCAUCUUAACUGCCGAACAGCGGUGUCUGGUCGUCGAGCGCCUGGAACUAAAACCGGGCGCUCGACUACCCAGACACCGCUCAGACCUCCAGGACCACGGAACUGCCCGAUUCAAACUGCCGAACGGCCCGCCGUUCGGUAGGAUGAAUCCCCCAGACUAGGGGAUUCAUCCGAACCUAAGAUUAGAGCCGGAUGGCUGAACAUUCGGUACUUUCAGUUCAGUGUAAUAGACCGACCGCAGGGCCAGAAUCCAUGGAGCUGUUUUCGGCUACCAAAUCCCUGCGGUCGGUCAAAUCUUUGAAUGUCUGUAACUCCCAAACCCCUGGUCUGAUCUGGGUGAAAUUUGAGUAUGUUGCUCACCCAGACCAGACCAACCAGGGGACCCCUCAUUUGUCACCGUACCCCCUGUAUUUAGGGGACAUCCAGAAAUGGGGGAAAACUCUGUUCCCACUAAUGAGCUUAACUGGUAAUCUAAGGGGAGGAGAGGGAGAGGAGGUAACCACGAUGUGAUUGGAUAUGUUAAGUUACCUCCCUUGCAUGGGAAAAGGACAUAAAAGCAAAUGUGUGAAUAAACCUGGCAGUUGACCUCCAAGCUAUGUGUCGUCUAGUUCUUGGAGGGAAGGGAUUGUAACUACGCUACCUGUUUUGUACCUGUCUUGGAUUGCUGUUCCUGUCUACCAGUGGAGCUACCUUGGAUAAUACCUCUACUCCGCUACAGCGAGCUAUCAUAUUGAACGGGGGAAAAGCGUAGAGCCGAGUCUGCGGCCAGUCUUGAAGGAACGCAUCCGUUGCUACUGCCGCCGGAUCCGGUCUCCAACUGAAGAACUUGGGUACUUGCAAGUUGAGACGGGACGCGAAAAGGUCCACGUCGAAUGGGCCCCAAAUGUGGUCCAGACCCUGGAAGGCCGUAGCAUGCAAGCGCCAAUCUCCAGAAUCUCUCAAAUAGCGUGAGUUACAAUCGGCCGUUGAGUUGUCCAGACCCGGAAUAUGUUCCGCCUGCACGGAAAUGUUGUUGCGAAGGCAGAAUUGCCAGAAGUCCUUCGCCAUGAGAGCUAACAUGCGCGAUUUCGUGCCUCCCAGGUGAUUGAUGUAUCGGACCGCUGAUACAUUGUCCAUCUUGAGCAUCACGCAACAAUUCGCCCGUUCCGGCGUGAGGCUGCGAAUAGCGAAUGCACCUGCCAAUAGUUCCAGGCAGUUGAUAUGGAGUGUUCGUUCCUGAUUCGACCAUCUGCCUCCGGUAGAUGCGGCACCACAACGCGCGCCCCAGCCGUGUAAGCUGGCAUCUGACUCUAUCACGAUGUCCGGGACAGAACCGAAUAUGGCUCUCCCGUUCCAGGCGUCCAUGUGGGCCAGCCACCAGGUCAGCUCGUCUCUGGACUCGUCGUCGAGUCUCACUCUCUGUUCGUAAGAGUGGCCGGCACGUAGGUGAGAGCCUUUUAAGCGUUGAAGGGCCCGGUAAUGGAGAGGGCCAGGGAAAAUUGCUUGUAUUGAGGCGGCCAGGAGGCCGAUCACCCUCGCCAGAUGUCGGAUAGAGAUGUCGUCUGCACGUAGUGUACGUCUGAUUUCCUUCUUGAUCGCCUUUGUCUUGGAUUCCGGAAGGAACAGGAAUUGUUGGACGGAGUCCACUGUAAACCCCAGAAAUUCCAGCGUUUGGGUGGGGUCUAAUACCGACUUCUCCCAAUUGAUGAGAAAGCCUAGGUUCUGGAGUAAGGACGUAGUCCAUGAUACAUGAAUCGUCAGUAAUUCUCUUGACUGGGCCAUCAGCAAGAUGUCGUCCAAAUAGAUGAUCAGACGUACACCGCGACUCCGAAGGAAGGAUACCACAGGUUUCAUGACCUUGGUGAAGCACCAGGGGGCCGAGGAGAGACCGAAUGGCAGACAGGUAAACUUCCAGCGCUUUCCCUUCCAGGUGAAAUGGAGGAAAUCUCUGUGGGCCGAGGUUAUAGGCACCGUAAAAUAGGCGUCCUUGAGGUCUAGUUUGGCCAACCAGUCGGACUCCUGAAGGAGGUCUCGAAGGCAAUGGAUGCCCUCCAUCUGGAAAUGGCGAUACUGGAGAAAAGCAUUGAGGGGGCGGAGGUUGAUGACCGGACGCACACCCCCACCUUUCUUCGGGACUAGAAACAGGUUGCUUGUAAAGCCCUGUUGAGUAAACGGGACCUCUUGUAUUGCACCUUUGGUGCGUAGUUCCAUGAUCUCCGAAGAGAUCAAUUCUUCCUGCUCUCGAGCUAGCGAGAGUUCCCUGGGGACAAAAGUUUGAACAGGAAAAGACACAAAAUCUAUGUGGUAACCCUUCACUGUUUGAAGAACCCAAGCAUCUGCCGUCAGGGCCACCCAUGCCUCGUAAAACUGGGCCAAUCUGCCCGCCACCCGCUCUCGUGUAUGAUGGACAAAAGGGGUACUCACCAUAAGGGCGUCUGCCUGAUGAGGCACCUCUCGGGUAGCGGGGAUUCCAGGACCUCCCUCUGGAUGGGAAGAACGGAGCCGGUCUGGGCUCUUGGAAGUUUCUGGUAGGGAAAAAGGAGCCUCGCUGAGCUCGAUACGAACCCCGGAAUCCGCGGCCGGGUGGACGGCUCCUGUUGCGCCCGGCCCCUCCAAAAACUCUAGGGGAAAACACCCUCUUCAUAUUAGCCUGGGCCUUUCAAUGGCUGUGAAGGUUUUAACGUAAGACCCCAGGUCUCUUACGAAAUUAUCUCCAAAGAGCAUCCCCUCAGCCGAGGGACCAGGUUCGGAGACGGCCAUGGUAGCCAAUUUAGGAUCAAUCUUAAGCAGGAUUGCCUUCCUGCGCUCAGCGGAGACGGCCAUAUUAGCAUUGCCUAGUAGGCAAAUGGCACGUUGCACCCAACCGAUCGCUACAUCAAUAUCAAGCUCCGCGUCACCCGCCUUGGCGGCUUCCAAAACUUCAUAGGCCUUAGACAGAGGGCCAAUGGUGUCCAUAAUCUUGUCUUGACAAUGUCUCAGGGAAAAAUCAAGGCCCUUCUUUUGCUUCCAGCCUGAUUUGUUGAGGAACUGGGCAAUCUGAGGAUCGACCUCUGGCGUCUUACACGCCGAUCCUGGGACCGAAGGUCUAGGACAUUCAGCCCGUAGCUUACUGCGACUCUCCCUAAAGAGUGGCGUACGCAUCCUAAGCGCGAUAUAUUGGGCGAUAUGCUCAGGGGGUUCCCACUCAGCGGAACGAGGAUGGCGCAAGUCAUCCGGAUCAAACAGGGGGUUACCCUGCGGAUCCAGAAUCCCCACGUCGCCACUCGCCCUCUGGGCAGUAACACCCCCGGCAGGGAAAGCGCCCCCAGUACGGGGUGCUACGGCAGGGGGAGCUCCCUCCUCCGAGCCGGCUUCUUCAUCAGAAGCAUAGUUUAGUUCCUCAUACUCCUCCUCCUCACUCCGGUCGCUCUCUGACCUUUCAUCACGGGAUCUAGCCCGUUUCCAUAACCUGGCCGUUUUUGCCCGACCAGAGGCUCUUUUGCGCGGUGGGAGCGCGCCAUCUGUGACUGCCUCAGGCGAGUCCGUCAAGGCAGGUAAAACCUGCGUUAUGGAGUGGGAAGAGAGAUGUUUGGCCUUCACCUUGGCCUUACGGGCACCAGGUGGGGUAACAGGAGUAGGGUCCGUACCCAGUAGGGUAGGAUUAGCCACCUGGGGCAGCAAAAGAGACUGUGCUAGAGUCUGGGAAAAGGAGGAGGACAUAGCCCCCAUAGCAGAGGCGAGCGCUCUCUGGAGAGAGGACGCCAUAGUGGAGUCCAUCAGAGCCUGGAACUCCUCAGAAAUAACCUGACCCUCAGGUAAUUCCUGAUGGAAGUCAGUAACGCGGCCCUCAGGGCCAUCACCCUUAUCCUGCAUGACUACAGGAAAGGGUUAAACAGUAGGAGUAAAAAUACGACAAUCAGAUCUGAAAUCAAAACGAAAAAUGGCAGAUAAGUAUAUAGGAAAAUAAUGGCAGAAUUAGGGUUUAAUAACCCAAAGGGACAGGAACAGAACAGGGUUAAAGAUAGCCACAAGAAAAGACAGAACAGAAACAUAAGCACAUGGAAAUCAAAA
This 6213-nucleotide long non-coding RNA is filed under the name Pelobates cultripes (western spadefoot toad). Lineage: Eukaryota; Metazoa; Chordata; Amphibia; Anura; Pelobatidae. The record is from RNAcentral.